Molecule: small RNA, 90 nt
Filed under: Salmonella enterica
Lineage: Bacteria; Pseudomonadati; Pseudomonadota; Gammaproteobacteria; Enterobacterales; Enterobacteriaceae
Description: partial RtT sRNA
Rfam family: RtT RNA
About the family: This family represents a bacterial cis-regulatory element known as RtT RNA. The exact function of RtT is unknown although it is thought that it may be involved in changing the cellular response in relation to amino acid starvation.
Source: RNAcentral
AGGUUCGUGUCGAACGCAGUGAGACAACGGAGCCGCUUGCGGCGACGGCCCGAAGGGCGAGCGAAGCGAGUCAUCCUGCACGACCCACCA